RNAcentral lists this unclassified non-coding RNA (1483 nucleotides) under Hevea brasiliensis (rubber tree). The record is from RNAcentral. Lineage: Eukaryota; Viridiplantae; Streptophyta; Magnoliopsida; Malpighiales; Euphorbiaceae.
UUUUUUUUUUUUUUUUUUCAUUUCUGUUCGAGUAAUAAAUAUCUUGAAUUUUUCAUUCUUCAAAGUGAAAAAAUCAUCGGCCCAUAAGCAACUGUACUAGCAAAAUCCUCCUACUUUGGGCCCUGGGAACUGAAGAUAAUCUGGAAAAUCCUCCUACCUUGAUCACCCUAACAACUGUUGUAGUGUUCCAAAUCCAAUCCAUUCACAUUCAAGGAGAAGAGAAGAUUCGAGAAAAAAAAGGGAGAAGAUUGUAUAUAAUCUAAGGAACAUAUCUAAUCCAAAUAUCCAUCAAGUUGUAUACAACACCUAAAUGGUGCACAUGCAUAUAGUACCCACUGCAAUCUCUCCUUUAAGCAUAUAUCAUCUAACAUCCUACGACCAAAUUCAAACAUUUGUACAUCUCAUACAGAGAUGCCAACUUAUUUACAAAGAUAAAAACUGCCAGAAAAAAGAAAAAAAAAACCCAUAAAUUAAUAUAGAUCUAUCAUAUCACCAUGGUAGAUAGCUCUCAAAAUUGGUUCAAGAACUUGCGUAUCCCCUUCAUAAAUCCACCCUCAUGCUCAUGUUCUCUCUCUUCUCCUUCCUCCCCCUCCUCGUGAUCGUGGUGAUGGUGAUGGUGGUGAUGGUGGGGCUUCCCGAUCAUCUCCUCUCUCCUUGACUCGUCGUUGAUGAAUGAGAAUCUGUUCCCACCAUGGUUAAACCUGGCCCAUCUCGCUGGGAUCCGACGAGGCCCGUUGCUAGACACUGCAUCAAAGCCUAGAUCCUCAUUGCCAGAAAGAAUCAUGUCGUUGCCGUAAGAAAUCUCCCGCGGGCCGCUAAAGCGUGGACGGCCCCAUGGCUUAAACUGGUUGUGGCGGCCAUGGCAUCGAUGGCCGCGAUGAAAUGGGAUCAAUGGACGUCGAGGGAAGUGGCGGUUGACGGGACGGAAAGUGAUAACCGUGAAUGGCACCGUCUCAACUGUCUCGGUCUCUGAUCUUUCCUGGAUCGAGUCGGAUGUGCCGAUUUCCUUUUCUGGUAAUUUAGAUUCGGUGUUUUCAGUUUCUUCCGACUCAAGCUCCACAACCUUUGCUGGUUCGGAUUCAGAUUUCUCACUAGGGAGGAUGAUGGUGGCAGUUGCCUUGGGAUCAGACUCGGGCAAGUCAGCUAAACGAUCAUCACGUCUGGUAACGUAAUUUUCAGGCCGAUCCAACGGAGCACGAGCGUGAGCGAAGGUAAGAAAGAAUAAGAAAGCAGUGAAGGCGACCGUGAGGGUGAGAAUUCGGGCCAUCGUAAAAUGAAGGAUUAAGUAAUUGAAAAAACGAAGGCGGUUGUGAGUUUGUUAUAUAGGACAAGGAGGAGAGGGAAGAACGUUGGUGGGAAGGUUUGACUGGUAGAAUGCUGAAAUACCGGCAUCGGGCAAAUGCGACCCCGACCACGUGGCUUAUUAAGCUUUGGCAUUUGGGUCCUCAUUAGCGUGUACGACAAAAUUUGUGUCUUCUGUUGG